UACGAGAGGCCCAAACGUUAUUCGGAUUUACUGGGCUUAAAGAGUUCGUAGGCGGCGCGGAAAGUAGGGUGUGAAAGCCCUCGGCUCAACCGAGGAAUUGCGCUCUAAACUGUCGCGCUCGAGGAACCUAGAGGUGAGCAGAACUGAUGGUGGAGCGGUGAAAUGCGUUGAUAUCAUCAGGAAUACCGGAGGCGAAGGCGGCUCACUGGGGGUUAUCUGACGCUGAGGAACGAAAGCCAGGGGAGCAAAC
RNAcentral lists this ribosomal RNA (250 nucleotides) under uncultured bacterium. Its description in RNAcentral is "partial 16S ribosomal RNA". It matches the Rfam family "Bacterial small subunit ribosomal RNA", at positions 524 to 773 of the family's 1533-position model. The record is from RNAcentral.